Camelina sativa (false flax) is the source of this 839-nucleotide long non-coding RNA. RefSeq lists it as uncharacterized. The record is from RefSeq and is a predicted model, not a curated record. NCBI's taxonomy places the organism in Eukaryota, Viridiplantae, Streptophyta, Magnoliopsida, Brassicales, Brassicaceae.
UAAUUAUUUCUUUUCUCCCAUUCUCUUCUCCUUUCUCGCGACUCUCUCUCUCUCGACGGAACCCGCGAGACAAACCUCAAAUCCAUCUCAAAUCCAUAGUUUUUCAAUCGAUUCACACCUCAAAUCCACAGUUUUUCAAUCGAUUCACCUCAAUCUUCUCCUGAAUAUGUUCAUCAAGCCAUAGUUGAUGAACGGUUUGCAGGGAUGUCAAAGGAAGAAGCUUCUACCAUAUUAAUUCAGACUACAUUUAGGGGCUAUUUGUCCAAAGCACAAGUCGAAGCGGGUAUGUUGCACAAGUACGAGGCAACAAUGAGAAGAGAGAGCAUUAGCUUAUGCAUUCACACAUCAGGUGUGACUUUGUAACUUUCCUACUCCGUGAAGAAAACAAGCUAACCAAAUCAGCUGUGAUGGUUACUGCUGGUGCCAAUCAGUUGUUUAAACAGGUUAUUGUGGUGAGUCUACAAUGGUAUAAACUGUUAAUGAGAUUCACUACAAGUUGAAUCAAAGUGCUUCAGGUUAGAAGCCAAGAUGAUUCUGUUUUUUUUUCUGCAUAUGAUUCAAGUAAAUUGAAGAUGAGGUCGUGAGAGAGAGUUGGAGCCAUAUGGAGCCGCAUUAUGUAGCACACAAUGUAGCUAGAAGGGUGAGUGAAAACAUGUAAAAGCUUUAUAGCUUUGGGGAGUGUUUUUCUCAUUAGAACUUAGGUUGAUACAAAGAGUGUUCAUAGGUGGUGUCACAUUGACACUACUGAACUCUUUAAAUGUGUGUGCUCCCAUCUUCUUCUCUACUCUUUUCUCUAAUCCCUCUGUGCUUUGUUUUUGGCUGCAACAAACAAAAAGCUU